Molecule: ribosomal RNA, 559 nt
Filed under: Fusarium equiseti
Lineage: Eukaryota; Fungi; Ascomycota; Sordariomycetes; Hypocreales; Nectriaceae
Description: eukaryotic LSU rRNA
Rfam family: Eukaryotic large subunit ribosomal RNA
Source: RNAcentral
AAGUCAUGACUAGUACGGCGAGUGAAGCGGCAACAGCUCAAAUUUGAAAUCUGGCUCUCGGGCCCGAGUUGUAAUUUGUAGAGGAUGCUUUUGAUGCGGUGCCUUCCGAGUUCCCUGGAACGGGACGCCAUAGAGGGUGAGAGCCCCGUCUGGUUGGAUGCCAAAUCUCUGUAAAGCUCCUUCGACGAGUCGAGUAGUUUGGGAAUGCUGCUCUAAAUGGGAGGUAUAUGUCUUCUAAAGCUAAAUACCGGCCAGAGACCGAUAGCGCACAAGUAGAGUGAUCGAAAGAUGAAAAGCACUUUGAAAAGAGAGUUAAAAAGUACGUGAAAUUGUUGAAAGGGAAGCGUUUAUGACCAGACUUGGGCUUGGUUAAUCAUCUGGGGUUCUCCCCAGUGCACUUUUCCAGUCCAGGCCAGCAUCAGUUUUCGCCGGGGGAUAAAGGCUUCGGGAAUGUGGCUCUCUCCGGGGAGUGUUAUAGCCCGUUGCGUAAUACCCUGGCGGGGACUGAGGUUCGCGCAUCUGCAAGGAUGCUGGCGUAAUGGUCAUCAACGACCCGCAA